This 239-nucleotide ribosomal RNA is filed under the name uncultured bacterium. RNAcentral describes it as "partial 16S ribosomal RNA". It matches the Rfam family "Bacterial small subunit ribosomal RNA", at positions 524 to 762 of the family's 1533-position model. The record is from RNAcentral.
UACGGAGGGUGCAAGCGUUAAUCGGAAUUACUGGGCGUAAAGCGCGCGUAGGCGGCUUGUUAAGUCGGAUGUGAAAUCCCCGGGCUCAACCUGGGAACUGCAUUCGAUACUGGCUGGCUAGAGUGUGGUAGAGGGAAGUGGAAUUCCAGGUGUAGCGGUGAAAUGCGUAGAGAUUUGGAGGAAUACCAGUGGCGAAGGCGGCCCCCUGGCACAACACUGACGCUCAGGUGCGAAAGCGU